GGUUAAGCGACUAAGCGUACACGGUGGAUGCCUAGGCAAUCAGAGGCGAUGAAGGACGUGCUAAUCUGCGAUAAGCGUCGGUAAGGUGAUAUGAACCGUUAUACCCGACGAUUUCCGAAUGGGGAAACCCAGUGCAAUUCGUUGCACUAUCGUUUGAUGAAUACAUAGUCAAACGAAGCGAACCGGGGGAACUGAAACAUCUCAGUACCCCGAGGAAAAGAAAUCAACCGAGAUUCCCCUAGUAGCGGCGAGCGAACGGGGAGCAGCCCAGAGUCUUAAUCAGCAUCAGCAUCAGGAGAACGGUCUGGAAAGUCCGGCAGUAAAGGGUGAUAGCCCCGUAUCCGAAGGUGUUGGUGUUGUGAACUCGACGAGUAGGGCGGGACACGUGUUAUCCUGUCUGAAUAUGGGGGGACCAUCCUCCAAGGCUAAAUACUCCUGAUUGACCGAUAGUGAACCAGUACCGUGAGGGAAAGGCGAAAAGAACCCCGGCGAGGGGAGUGAAAUAGAACCUGAAACCGUGUACGUACAAGCAGUGGGAGCACCUUCGGGUGUGACUGCGUACCUUUUGUAUAAUGGGUCAGCGACUUAUAUUCUGUAGCAAGGUUAACCGUAUAGGGGAGCCGUAGGGAAACCGAGUCUUAACUGGGCGAAUGAGUUGCAGGGUAUAGACCCGAAACCCGGUGAUCUAGCCAUGGGCAGGUUGAAGGUUGGGUAACACUAACUGGAGGACCGAACCGACUAAUGUUGAAAAAUUAGCGGAUGACUUGUGGCUGGGGGUGAAAGGCCAAUCAAACCGGGAGAUAGCUGGUUCUCCCCGAAAGCUAUUUAGGUAGCGCCUCGUGAACUCAUCUUCGGGGGUAGAGCACUGUUUCGACUAGGGGGUCAUCCCGACUUACCAACUCGAUGCAAACUACGAAUACCGAAGAAUGUUAUCACGGGAGACACACGGCGGGUGCUAACGUUCGUCGUGAAGAGGGAAACAACCCAGACCGCCAGCUAAGGUCCCAAAGUCAUGGUUAAGUGGGAAACGAAGUGGGAAGGCUCAGACAGCCAGGAUGUUGGCUUAGAAGCAGCCAUCAUUUAAAGAAAGCGUAAUAGCUCACUGGUCGAGUCGGCCUGCGCGGAAGAUGUAACGGGGCUAAACCAUGCACCGAAGCUGCGGCAGCGACAUUUAGAUGUUGUUGGGUAGGGGAGCGUUCUGUAAGCCUGCGAAGGUGUGCUGUGAGGCAUGCUGGAGGUAUCAGAAGUGCGAAUGCUGACAUAAGUAACGAUAAUGCGGGUGAAAAACCCGCACGCCGGAAGACCAAGGGUUCCUGUCCAACGUUAAUCGGGGCAGGGUGAGUCGACCCCUAAGGCGAGGCAGAAAUGCGUAGUCGAUGGGAAACAGGUUAAUAUUCCUGUACUGGUGAUAAUUGCGAUGGGGGGACGGAGAAGGCUAGGCUAUCCGGGCGACGGUUGUCCCGGUUUAAGGAUGUAGGCAGGUGAAUUAGGCAAAUCCGGUUCACUACAUGCUGAGGUCUGAUGACGAGUCACUACGGUGAUGAAGUAGCUCAUGCCCCGCUUCCAGGAAAAGCCUCUAAGCUCUAGAUUAUCAUUAAUCGUACCCCAAACCGACACAGGUGGUCAGGUAGAGAAUACUCAGGCGCUUGAGAGAACUCGGGUGAAGGAACUAGGCAAAAUGGUGCCGUAACUUCGGGAGAAGGCACGCUGGCGCUAGGUGAAGUGGUUUACCCAUGGAGCUGAAGCCAGUCGCAGAUACCAGCUGGCUGCAACUGUUUAUUAAAAACACAGCACUGUGCAAACACGAAAGUGGACGUAUACGGUGUGACGCCUGCCCGGUGCUGGAAGGUUAAUUGAUGGGGUUAUCCGUAAGGAGAAGCUCUUGAUCGAAGCCCCAGUAAACGGCGGCCGUAACUAUAACGGUCCUAAGGUAGCGAAAUUCCUUGUCGGGUAAGUUCCGACCUGCACGAAUGGCGUAAUGAUGGCCAGGCUGUCUCCACCCGAGACUCAGUGAAAUUGAACUCGCUGUGAAGAUGCAGUGUACCCGCGGCAAGACGGAAAGACCCCGUGAACCUUUACUAUAGCUUGACACUGAACAUUGAGCCUUGAUGUGUAGGAUAGGUGGGAGGCUUUGAAGUGUGGACGCCAGUCUGCAUGGAGCCAACCUUGAAAUACCACCCUUUAAUGUUUGAUGUUCUAACGUUGCCCCGUGAUCCGGGGUGCGGACAGUGUCUGGUGGGUAGUUUGACUGGGGCGGUCUCCUCCCAAAGAGUAACGGAGGAGCACGAAGGUUGGCUAAGCAUGGUCGGACAUCAUGCGGUUAGUGCAAAGGCAUAAGCCAGCUUGACUGCGAGAGUGACGGCUCGAGCAGGUACGAAAGUAGGUCUUAGUGAUCCGGUGGUUCUGAAUGGAAGGGCCAUCGCUCAACGGAUAAAAGGUACUCCGGGGAUAACAGGCUGAUACCGCCCAAGAGUUCAUAUCGACGGCGGUGUUUGGCACCUCGAUGUCGGCUCAUCACAUCCUGGGGCUGAAGUAGGUCCCAAGGGUAUGGCUGUUCGCCAUUUAAAGUGGUACGCGAGCUGGGUUUAGAACGUCGUGAGACAGUUCGGUCCCUAUCUGCCGUGGGCGUUGGAAGAUUGAAAGGGGCUGCUCCUAGUACGAGAGGACCGGAGUGGACGCACCACUGGUGUUCGGGUUGUCAUGCCAAUGGCAUUGCCCGGUAGCUAAGUGCGGAAGAGAUAACCGCUGAAAGCAUCUAAGCGGGAAACUUGCCUUGAGAUGAGUCUUCCCUGACUCUUUAAGGGUCCUAAAGGAACGUUUAAGACUAAGACGUUGAUAGGCUGGGUGUGUAAGCGUAGCGAUACGUUGAGCUAACCAGUACUAAUGAACCGUGAGGCUUAACCUG
Molecule: ribosomal RNA, 2905 nt
Filed under: Providencia manganoxydans
Lineage: Bacteria; Pseudomonadati; Pseudomonadota; Gammaproteobacteria; Enterobacterales; Morganellaceae
Description: 23S ribosomal RNA
Rfam family: Bacterial large subunit ribosomal RNA
Source: RNAcentral